CACCAUCAUAGUAUCCUUCUUUUGCUAAAGUAUAGAAAUUUUGACAUGUCUAUAAGUUAGCGAUUCUACUUUCAAAGCAAACAACACUGUUCGUCCUUUAUUCUUGAUGCGUACUUUAGGAGCAUGUUCUGUAUACAAUUCAAUAAGAAUUUUUCCCUAAAAAAUGUUAAAUGCUUGAGCUUGGAAAAGAUCUUACCAAACUUGUUUGUAACUCUACAUUAGCCAUGGUAUUUACUAGUUUUUACACGAU
This is a non-coding RNA of Schizosaccharomyces pombe (fission yeast), 250 nucleotides long. NCBI's taxonomy places the organism in Eukaryota, Fungi, Ascomycota, Schizosaccharomycetes, Schizosaccharomycetales, Schizosaccharomycetaceae. The record is from the annotation of a GenBank genome assembly.